GAUUUUAUGGGCGUUGACUUUUCCCCAUUCUCUUGCUUGGUUGUUGACUUCUCCCCAUUCUCUUGCUUGGCUGUUGACUUUUCUCCAUUCUCUUGCUUGGUUGUUGACUUUUCCACAUUCUCUUGCUUGGUUGUUGACUUUUUCAGAUUCACUUGCUUGGCUGUUGACUUUUCUGGUGUGGGGCCCGGGGUUGGGGUACUUACUCCACUUUUGUGCUGUUCAGGGUGCUUAGAACUCCUACGAGCAUUUUCAAACCACUUGCUG
This 264-nucleotide long non-coding RNA is filed under the name Lactuca sativa (garden lettuce). Its description in RNAcentral is "long non-coding RNA (LSAT_LNC009843)". Lineage: Eukaryota; Viridiplantae; Streptophyta; Magnoliopsida; Asterales; Asteraceae. The record is from RNAcentral.